RNAcentral lists this ribosomal RNA (253 nucleotides) under uncultured bacterium. RNAcentral describes it as "partial 16S ribosomal RNA". It matches the Rfam family "Bacterial small subunit ribosomal RNA", at positions 524 to 776 of the family's 1533-position model. The record is from RNAcentral.
UACAGAGGUCCCAAGCGUUGUUCGGAUUCAUUGGGCGUAAAGGGUGCGUAGGCGGCGCGGUAAGUCGGGUGUGAAAUCUCGGGGCUUAACUCCGAAACUGCAUUCGAUACUGCCGUGCUUGAGGACCGGAGAGGAGACUGGAAUUUACGGUGUAGCGGUGAAAUGCGUAGAUAUCGUAAGGAAGACCAGUGGCGAAGGCGGGUCUCUGGACAGUUCCUGACGCUGAGGCACGAAGGCCAGGGGAGCAAACGGG